RNAcentral lists this ribosomal RNA (442 nucleotides) under uncultured bacterium. RNAcentral describes it as "partial 16S ribosomal RNA". It matches the Rfam family "Bacterial small subunit ribosomal RNA", at positions 338 to 795 of the family's 1533-position model. The record is from RNAcentral.
CCUACGGGUGGCAGCAGUGGGGAAUAUUGGGCAAUGGGCGCAAGCCUGACCCAGCAACGCCGCGUGAAGGAAGAAGGCUUUCGGGUUGUAAACUUCUUUUGACAGGGAAGAGUAGAUGACGGUACCUGUCGAAUAAGCCCCGGCUAACUACGUGCCAGCAGCCGCGGUAAUACGUAGGUGGCAAGCGUUGUCCGGAUUUACUGGGUGUAAAGGGAGAGUAGCCGGGUUGGCAAGUCAGGAGUGAAAGCCUGGGGCUGAACCGCCGAACUGCAUUGGAAACUGUUGAUCUUGAGUACUGGAGAGGCAGACGGAAUUCCUAGUGUAGCGGUGAAAUGCGUAGAUAUUAGGAGGAACACCAGUGGCGAAGGCGGUCUGCUGGACAGCAACUGACGGUGAGGCGCGAAAGCGUGGGGAGCAAACAGGAUUAGAUACCCCUGUAGUC